Herpailurus yagouaroundi (jaguarundi) is the source of this 3050-nucleotide long non-coding RNA. RefSeq lists it as uncharacterized. The record is from RefSeq and is a predicted model, not a curated record. The transcript has 2 exons. NCBI's taxonomy places the organism in Eukaryota, Metazoa, Chordata, Mammalia, Carnivora, Felidae.
AACUGUCAAAAACGUCUUGGGGAGUAUUGAUCAUUUUCAGGAAACUAUACCAACACUUUUCUGGGGCUUUCCCUCCAGCCUAACAUUCCUCAGGCAGGACGUGGCACUUCAGAGAGAGCCCACUCUGUGCCGGCUUCUUUGAGAAACCAGCAGGAUGGCCUGCAAGAAACUGGGCCACCUCCAGCAGGUGGACAGGGAUGUGAAUGGCUCCUAGUGAGCCAUUGACUUUCUGAAUUUAGAGAAAGUUGUGGUGAAGAAAAGCUUAUAUUUCCAUCUUAGGCGAUUCCUCCAGCCCAAAGGAGCCUUUACUAAGUUCUCAGCUACAUCUUAUAGGACUCCCUCCUGGCAUGAUUUUGAAGCCCAAACAUCAGGCAGUAUCUUUGAGUGGACUUGAUUAUAAAGAUAAACUUGUUGGUAAAAUAAGUUUUGAAUACUGUGGGACCCAAGCUGCUGUGGCAUGCUAUUCUGGAUGUCCUUGGCCUAGCCCAGCCAUUAAGUUGGGGGUCGGCAGACUUUCUGUAAAGGGCCAAAUAGUCACUAUUUUAGGCUUUGUGGACUGUUGCAGUGUGAGAGGAGCCGCAGACAGACACGUGAGUGGGGCCGUGUGCCGAUAAAACUUUAAGGACGCUGGAAUUUGAAUGUCACAGAAUUUUCACGUCACAAAAUAGUAUCCUUCCUUUGAUGAUUUUCCAAUCAUUUAAAAAUGUAAAAACCCCAUUUAGUUCAUGAGCCGUUCGAGAGCAGGUAGAAGGCUGGGUUUGGCCCGUGGUCCGCAGCUUGCUGACCCCUGCUUACGUGAAACUCAGCUCCGCCAACCCAUGCAGCGCAUCCUCGCCGCACAGGGAAUCUGGGCUGGGUAAUGGAGAACGUUGUGCUAAGUUAGCUCUCGGGGUGGUUUCAUGCAAUUAAGGAAAUUGUUCCUUUGAUUAGUACCAUGUGUAGCAGGUCCAAUUGGAGGGCAGAAGUGGAGGAAUGAAUCAGUUUAGCACCAGUUCCCUUACCCUAGUUACAGUCAGGUAGCUUUAAUUAGCCAGAAGCAAAAAGAGCAGUGGCUCUCACUUGCCACCUCUGCGUGCUUGCAACCUCUUCCCAGCGGGGGUCUCGUCCCCAGCCCACCUGCAGUGGUGCUGGCCCCUCCCUCUCAUAGGGCGGGACUGCUCAUGGCAAAACAGGGCUCUCCGGAGGGCUCUCCGGAAGCUGUGUGGCAUGUCUGCCCCACCCCACCCCUGUUGCUGUAUGUAGCAAUACGUUUUGUUGAAUCAUACGUUUACAGUUAUAGAGAGAAUGUCUCUGUUCCUCCUCUCCAAUACAGUUGUUUGCAAGAAAUGAACAUUCCAGCUCUCUACUGUUUAAUUUUUGGGCAGUGUGAUAUUUGGUGCGAGGUGAAAAGGACGGGAUAUUCAUCCUAUCUGGCUCUUCCUUGGUCUUAUUUACAUCAUCACUGAAACACAAGGGUAGGCUGUUGAUCAGACGGUAGGACAUGUUUGUAGAUUGGUCUCUGUUGUCUUAGUCAUAGAGUUCUUCCCUCGGCAUGUGUUCCAAAAGCAUUUAUUGGGUACCUUGAAUGUGUUAGUUGCUGGAGAUGAAGGAAUAAGGAAUGAAGGAAUGAGACACAAGUCCAGGUUCUUAAGUUUACAGUGAGCUGAAGGAGCCAGCAGACCACCCAGAAAAUUAAGAGUAUGGUGAGACUACGUUGGAGAGGACCAGCACAGUCUCAGGGGAUCAGGGAAGAUUUGCCAGUGGAGACAGUGUGUACUCUAGGAUUUUCAAAAGGUCGAGGGGCUAGCCAGGCCCCGAAGGCAAGAGAAGGCGGUCCAAGCAAACUGCUAGUGCAGGCAUGCAAGGGGCAAGAGAUGGCACAUUUGGGCAAUGGCACAUUGUUCCAGGGUACAUGGUGCUGGUGCAGAGGGGGGAGAGUAGCUAGGAGAGGAGGCAGAGGCUAGGCCUUGAAGACUGCAGGAGUGAGCUGGGGGAGCCAUGGAAGAUUUUAACCAUGGAAGUGAUGUGAUCAGGACUAUGUUUUGGAAAGAGCUGAUGGCUGUGGGAUGGAGAGUAGACCAGAAAAGAACAAAACAGAGAAAGCUCAUAAUCCAUCAGAGAAAUGACAAGGGCCUGACCUGAGAGAGAGGCCUAGGGGCAAGAGAAAAUCACAGAUCCAAGAGAGGAAGGAACAUGGAGGCUUGACAAAUGGACGAUCUUGAUUAGAUGUGAGGGAGAAUGGAGGAAUCGGGUCUCUGGUUUGGGCACGUAGGUUAUACAGUACAGUAGGUUGUAUUGACCCGGGCACACCUGGAUGGAAGAGUUGAAAAGCAAGAUAAUUACUUCUGUUUAGGAUCUGUUGACCUAGGGUCUGUUGAAGGGUCCACUGGAGAGGGACAGGUAGAAAUGUAAAGUGAGCAUGUGGGCGUAGGGGUUCAGGGGUCAGCCGGGAAGGUUGGCCUAGAGGUAACCAUUUGCUAGCCAGGAGCAUCUAAACGGUCCGUAAGCUGUUUAGGAAUGAGCUCUAGUGCGGAGGACUCUGGAAUGAGGAGCCAUGCAGCACUAGACAGGCAGGAGGGUGAGAAACACUUCCUUGUGCCCAGUUCUUAGGUAGUCUUCUCUGAUCCCCUCUUUUCCCUAGAAAAGGAGGCUUUAUAGCAGAUUACAAAAGCAUAAGUAAAUUCCUUUGUCUAUAAAAAAGUAAGUAUAUUCUCAUGUUAUAAAAUUUAGAAAAUAUAACAGUGUGAAGAAAUCAAAACUACCUAUAAAUCUAUCACCCAGAAAGAGCCACUGCUAAUAUUUUGUCAUAUUAUAGUUCCUUAUGAAUAUCCUCCUUAACACUUCAUGGCAAGAGGGAGGAGUGGUUAGCAUAACAUACAUAUAAUUUUUAUGUCAUGCUUUUUAAUAUUAUAGAAUGAGUUUUUCUCAUGCAAUUCAAAAUUCUUCUAAACCAUUUUAGUGCCUAUGUAAUAUUUCAACAUAUUAAAUGCUCUGGAACACUUAACCAUGCCUCAACUGUGGAUAUUUAGAUUACAGUUUUACUAUACAAUAAAUAAUAAUGCCAUGAGCUA